This 253-nucleotide ribosomal RNA is filed under the name uncultured bacterium. RNAcentral describes it as "partial 16S ribosomal RNA". It matches the Rfam family "Bacterial small subunit ribosomal RNA", at positions 524 to 776 of the family's 1533-position model. The record is from RNAcentral.
UACGUAGGGGGCAAGCGUUGUCCGGAAUCAUUGGGCGUAAAGCGCGUGUAGGCGGCCCGAUAAGUCCGCUGUGAAAGUCCAGGGCUCAACCCUGGGAUGCCGGUGGAUACUGUCGGGCUCGAGUCCGGAAGAGGCGAGUGGAAUUCCUGGUGUAGCGGUGAAAUGCGCAGAUAUCAGGAGGAACACCAGCGGCGAAGGCGGCGCUCUGGGCUGGAACUGACGCUGAGGAGCGAAAGCGUGGGUAGCAAACAGG